Molecule: long non-coding RNA, 1400 nt
Organism: Anastrepha obliqua
Lineage: Eukaryota; Metazoa; Arthropoda; Insecta; Diptera; Tephritidae
Exons: 3
Source: RefSeq, a predicted model, not a curated record
GGUUGUAAUCACAGUGGCCUGGCCAUCGUCGUCGUCAUCAAUUCGGCUAUCGUAUUCAUGGUGCAACUAGGAAUUUUUGAUAAUACAUAUUGCGCAUACGUUUUUCAUUACUCUUUUCAAGUGUAUAGUGUUAUUAUAUUUUAUUAUUUUGUUAAAUGUGUCGUGAGUGAGAGCUCCCUCUUCCCCCAUCGAGUUGUUGUUUUUGAGAAAUCGAAAGAGAAACGACAACGACAUUGAUUUUCUUUGAGACGUAUUGUUUUGCCAGUGCGCACUGAAAACCUGGAAGGGAUAGAAAUAAAGCUAUAAAAUGGUAAAUCAUAUGUUGUAUAGGUGAAAAUACGUAAAAAUAUAAUAAGAUUUGCAAAGGACGGGAAUCGUAAAUGAAAAGCCAGUGGGUGAUAUUUAAACGCGUUGAGAUAUGCGAGCGGAAGGAGAAGUGGAUGGGGAAAAGUAGGUGGUGAAGCCAGCCGUAUACGUCGUGAGCAGUAGUGGCGAUAGCAGAAUCAAAAGCAACGUGCUCUUGCCCUGGCAAAUACUAGCAAUUAGUGUGGUGUGUAUAUUAAUGCCUCUCGCUUCUUUUCACCAAGUAGUGUGGUGAGUUUUUGGUCACGCAAGCAACAAAAAAAAAAAACAUUAAUAACAUACUAACAGCUCAACAACAAAACGAGAACUAUCAACAUUAUUGUGUUGAUACCUUAAAACUGCAGGGGCAGUGGAGGUGGUAAAAUUAUAGAAGAGCGCGAAUAUCUUAUCGUGUCCGCCUGCUGCUCUUUGCCCUGCGCUGAGCUGUUAAUACCGGCCGUCGUUGCGUAUCUUUGCUUUACGUUUCGUCGCGUAUGAGUGUGUACUCACACGAAUUUUAACAAAUGGCAAGACACUUUUAAAACAACAACUGUUGAAUUCGUCUGAUUGGAAAAUAAAUAAUAAAUAAAUCAAAUCAAAGAGUUUGUACCUUUGGCUAUGAAUUAACAUUUGAAAAUCUAGAAAAGUUCAUCAUGCUCGACAUGAAUUGAAGAGGUGGAAAUUGUUACAGUUCUUAUUUAUGGUAAAAUCGUAAAUUAAGAAAUUUUGAUGUGUAAAGUGACUCGUUUACUAUUGCCUAAAAUAUUUUUGAAAGUUACAACAUACGCGUUUAGCCUGUAAUCAUAAUAAAACAACCGUGUCAUCUAUUGAAGUCGAACCAAUCCUUUCGGAGAAAAGUUGAAAAACUUAAAAAUCGUUUUUACUUGACAAACUGCGGUAGUUUUCGCAGGAAUUGAUGAAGUAACAACUAAAGGUGUCGAUUAUUUGGUGAAGGUAAUGCGGCAAAUUAAUUAAGGUUGUUUCUUGCAACACAGGAACCUCAUGUGGAAGGCGCGUCGUCGGCGUCGGGUCCAUUGAUUGCCAUAUACAGAGUUUUU